This 402-nucleotide ribosomal RNA is filed under the name uncultured bacterium. RNAcentral's name for it is "bacterial SSU rRNA". It matches the Rfam family "Bacterial small subunit ribosomal RNA", at positions 355 to 774 of the family's 1533-position model. RNAcentral also lists the same sequence under 1 other name. The record is from RNAcentral.
UGGGGAAUAUUGGACAAUGGGCGCAAGCCUGAUCCAGCCAUGCCGCGUGAGUGAUGAAGGCCUUAGGGUUGUAAAGCUCUUUCACCGAUGAAGAUAAUGACGGUAGUCGGAGAAGAAGCCCCGGCUAACUUCGUGCCAGCAGCCGCGGUAAUACGAAGGGGGCUAGCGUUGUUCGGAAUUACUGGGCGUAAAGCGCACGUAGGCGGAUAUUUAAGUCAGGGGUGAAAUCCCGCAGCUCAACUGCGGAACUGCCUUUGAUACUGGGUAUCUUGAGUAUGGAAGAGGUUAGUGGAAUUGCGAGUGUAGAGGUGAAAUUCGUAGAUAUUCGCAGGAACACCAGUGGCGAAGGCGGCUAACUGGUCCAUAACUGACGCUGAGGUGCGAAAGCGUGGGGAGCAAACA